GAAUAAUUUACCACUGAUUACAAGGUAUUGAAUAAGAUUUUAAUUGAAUGCUAAGAGAAUGGAAGUCCAGAAAAAAACUUUUUUUAAAUUAAAAAUUGAAGUUUUUUUAAUUUGUGCAGAAACAAUUAUUUAUAUUAAAGACAAGAAGACCCUAUGAAUUUAUUAAAUUUUUAUUUAAUAUGUAAUUACUAUUAGAAAAAUUUUGGCUGGGGCGGCUAGAAAAUAUUAUGAACUUUUUAAAAAUAAAAUGAUCCAUUAUUAAUGAUUUUAUGUUAAAUACUCUAGGGUAAACAGCGUAAA
This 300-nucleotide ribosomal RNA is filed under the name Rhipicephalus sanguineus (brown dog tick). Its description in RNAcentral is "partial 16S ribosomal RNA". Lineage: Eukaryota; Metazoa; Arthropoda; Arachnida; Ixodida; Ixodidae. The record is from RNAcentral.